UACGUAGGGUGCGAGCGUUAAUCGGAAUUACUGGGCGUAAAGCGUGCGCAGGCGGCUUUGCAAGACAGAUGUGAAAUCCCCGAGCUCAACCUGGGAACUGCAUUUGUGACUGCAAGGCUAGAGUACGGCAGAGGGGGAUGGAAUUCCGCGUGUAGCAGUGAAAUGCGUAGAUAUGCGGAGGAACACCAAUGGCGAAGGCAAUCCCCUGGGCCUGUACUGACGCUCAUGCACGAAAGCGUGGGGAGCAAACAGG
Molecule: ribosomal RNA, 253 nt
Filed under: uncultured bacterium
Lineage: Bacteria
Description: partial 16S ribosomal RNA
Rfam family: Bacterial small subunit ribosomal RNA
Source: RNAcentral